RNAcentral lists this ribosomal RNA (495 nucleotides) under uncultured bacterium. RNAcentral's name for it is "partial 16S ribosomal RNA". It matches the Rfam family "Bacterial small subunit ribosomal RNA", at positions 28 to 507 of the family's 1533-position model. The record is from RNAcentral.
GACGAACGCUGGCGGCGUGCCUAAUACAUGCAAGUAGAACGCUGAAGGAGGAGCUUGCUUCUCCGGAUGAGUUGCGAACGGGUGAGUAACGCGUAGGUAACCUGCCUGGUAGCGGGGGAUAACUAUUGGAAACGAUAGCUAAUACCGCAUAAGAGUAGAUGUCGCAUGACAUUUGCUUAAAAGGUGCAACUGCACCACUACCAGAUGGACCUGCGUUGUAUUAGCUAGUUGGUGAGGUAACGGCUCACCAAGGCAACGAUACAUAGCCGACCUGAGAGGGUGGUCGGCCACACUGGGACUGAGACACGGCCCAGACGCCUACGGGAGGCAGCAGUAGGGAAUCUUCGGCAAUGGACGGAAGUCUGACCGAGCAACGCCGCGUGAGUGAAGAAGGUUUUCGGAUCGUAAAGCUCUGUUGUAAGAGAAGAACGAGUGUGAGAGUGGAAAGUUCACACUGUGACGGUAUCUUACCAGAAAGGGACGGCUAACUACGUG